AAUUUUCCUUUCUUUUCAUGUGUUCCAAGUUUCCAACUUCCAAGCAAAGGAAAAAAUCAACCAUUUUAUGCCAAGAAUUUUUUCCUUCUGAGAGAGUGCUGCCUCUCACAACCCUUCUCUUUUCACAAGUCACAACACGACAGGUACACACUCUCGUUCAAUCUUUAUAUCUCAUCGGCCCUACCCUACCUCUCUUCGAUGUACACUCUCCGAUAAUCACCAUCCAGCGAUUUUGAAGCAAAUUAUUAGCACAAAGGGUCGAUGUAUUUCCUAACCUGCACUUCCCCGUUUACAGUAUCAAGUGUCUAGGAUCUGUGGAUUUUUCCUAUGCUACUUGGAUUAGCUGAACGGAGUGAAAUUUUCUGUGUGUGGGACACUGCCAAAGAUGCCAACUCUAGUCGCUGCAACACGGGUUCUUCUCCUUGCUGGUGACAUUUUACCUUUGAGAAGAUUGUCCUUGGUUUCCAAAAGAGCUCCAUUCUGCACUACUGUACGUUCCUUUAGCCAGGCUGAUCGCGAGAAUGGAACUCUCACCCUUGCAAGCCUAGGGUCGAAAAGUGAUUUCAAGACAACAAACAAGAGAAGGCCAAAUAAUCUUGCGCACUCAGAAGCUUCUAUUGAGUUACAAAGAACUGAAGAGAAGGUGGUUAAAAGCAAUGGAGUCAAGGAAGUUGGGGUAAAAAAAUCACUUGAAAUAGAAACGGCUCCUUUUGCCGCAAAUUCAUUUUCUGAACUUGGCCUCCCACCUUUAUUAUUAGAAAGGCUCGGAAAGGAAGGCUUCACUGAUCCAACUGAUGUUCAGUCAACAGCAAUUCCAGUGAUUCUAAAAAAUCACGAUGUCGUAAUUCAAUCAUACACAGGUUCGGGAAAAACCUUAGCCUAUCUUCUUCCUAUUCUCUCCAAAGUGGGCCCACUGAAGAUGAAGAAUCACUUGAAUGGUAAUGAAUCAGGGAGGAAAACAGAUGUAGAAGCUGUAAUUGUAGCUCCAUCUAGGGAACUCGGAAUGCAAAUUGUGAGGGAAUUUGAAAAGCUAUUAGGACCUGUACACAAGAAAAUGGUGCAGCAACUCGUGGGGGGUGCAAAUCGAUCAAGGCAGGAGGAUGCCCUUAGGAAAAACAAGCCGUCCAUUGUUGUUGGAACUCCAGGGCGUAUCGCAGAGAUUAGUGCUUCUGGAAAACUCCACACUCACAGCUGCCAAUUCCUCGUACUGGAUGAAGUCGAUGAGCUCCUUUCAUUUAACUUCCGGGUUGACAUGCAACGAAUAUUAGAGCAUGUAGGGAGGAGAUCCGGGUCAGACCCGCGGGCUACCCGAGACCCACUUACUAGUCGGAUCGAGCGUCAGACAAUCAUGGUUUCUGCAACAGUUCCAUUUUCGGUGAUGAGGGCUGCUAGGAGCUGGGCGAAAGAUCCCCUACUUGUGCAAGCUAAAAGUGUUACAUCUGUUGAUUCUGUCCCACAUUCUGAGCCCAUUAAGUUGUCAGGAAAUAGUUCCAGUACAAAUUCAUCCUCAAAUUUGCCGACGGAGAGCCUUCCACCAGCUCUGAAACACUACUACUGUGUUGCAAGGGUACAACAUAAGAUAGAUACCCUGAGGAGAUGUGUUCACGCGCUCGAUGCGAAAUCGGUGAUAGCUUUUAUGAAUCACACGAGACAACUGAAGGAUGCGGUGUUCAAGCUAGAGGCGCGUGGGAUGAAUGCCGCUGAGUUGCACGGAGAUCUGGGCAAGCUUGGGCGAUCGACGGUUUUGAAGAAGUUCAAGAAUGGGGAGGUGAGGGUAUUGGUGACGAAUGAGCUUUCAGCUCGUGGUUUGGACGUGGCGGAAUGUGAUCUUGUGGUUAAUGUGGAAUUACCGACGGAUGCGAUCCAUUAUGCGCAUCGGGCAGGUCGAACAGGUCGGCUUGGAAGGAAAGGGACUGUGGUCAGUAUAUGUGAGGAGCCUGAAGUGUUUGUUGUAAAGAAGUUUCAAAAGCAACUUGGGGUUCCUUUUGAACCUUGUGAGUUUACCGAGGGGAAGCUUAAUGUUGGUGAAGAAAAAGGGAAGUCCAGAUGAGUGAGGUGAAAUUUCUUUGAUUUGGUGAUUUCCCAUACCAAAUGAGCCUCAAUUGAGGAUGUUUUAUGUCUGAUAGUCCUAACUAACUACAUGGCGGUGGGAGUGUUCCUUUAUUCCCUGGGUAUGACUGACUUUGAAGAUGGUAAGAAUCUCAAUGGAGAUGUCGCUAGCUUCUCUGCAUCUCACUGGACCGUCAUCAUUCCAUUCGGUUACAAUGCAAGCUAGUAAUACAGUUUCCAAGGCAGUUGAUUAGCUUUAGGGCCAUAGCACGCCAAAGUGUUCGUGUUUGUACCUAUGCAAAUGAGACUAGAUCCUUGUAUUCCGACACACCAGGAGGAAAGUUGCAUUUGUAGCUGGAAAAUACAACAGUUUCUCUGAUCCUAUUGUCCCCAAAAGGAAUCGAAAUGGACGUCUAGGAUGAUAUUUUUCGAUACUGUGACGGAUGUUGCUUAUUAAAUCGGACCUGAUCAAAUGGAUAAUGUAUAACUUGUGAAGCAAAAGUUGACCA
Rhododendron vialii is the source of this 2558-nucleotide RNA transcript. It is a transcript of the gene named DEAD-box ATP-dependent RNA helicase 47, mitochondrial, with no coding region annotated. Lineage: Eukaryota; Viridiplantae; Streptophyta; Magnoliopsida; Ericales; Ericaceae. The transcript is spliced from 5 exons. The record is from RefSeq and is a predicted model, not a curated record.